AAGUAGAGGGACUAAAAUGGUUAAGAUGAGAAAAUGAGUUUUUAUUAAUUAAAACUAAAAACACCAAAACACACACCUUUGUGUGUGUUCUGGUCGUACAAAACACAGGAGCCAAGAAGGGCUCUCAAGCUCAAACCCUAACAAGCAUAAAAUCAACAAAUUGAAGGGGUAAAUCCAACCUAAAUCGAAAUCCAAGCACGAAUUCAUGAUCACCUCGAUGAAGGGAUCAUAAGUUUGACUCUUGACAAGCUAGAUGGAGGCUUGGGGAAAGAAGCGGGUCAAACGGAUCGUAUACGCGGAAAAGAGCAUAAUCCGGAUACUAGGAAUAAAUAUCGAUUGAAUGUUGACAUCGCUAUUACUUAGCGGCUACUAAGGCAAGGUAUCGAAACGGGUCAAUAUAUUGAUCCGAGCCAGGUUUGUAUAAUGAUUCAACUCGUCAUGUAGAACUUGAGGUUCUAUAAGUGUUAGACAAGGAUAAAAUAUAGAUAUUCGGUUAUCAUUAAGGUAAACCGAAUAAAUUGGGUCAUGAUUAUGGUAUUUUAGAAACAUAAUGGUUUCUAAACAAGAUUAUAGUUUUAAAAGUGAGAUUUUGGUCGAACAUGGCUUUAAAGGUCCUUCGUCGUAAUAGGAGGGGUAAAAGUGACCAAAAUGCCCUUAUAAGUGAAAUUAAGCAAACGAUCCCUAAAGGUUGCUUAGAAAUGAGUUUUGUAACCAAAUAGAUACUUGUAUUAAGUAUAAAAAGUGAAAUAUGUGAAUCUUUGGGUCAAAUGACUCUAUAUGAGUCUUUGCCGUAAAAUGAUAAUCCGAGGGGUAAAACUCGGAAUAAAUAGAUCUCCACAUUAAAUCCUCCACACAUAUAGUUGUGGUGGAAGAUAAAUUGAUAAAUAAUAUGGAAGUACAAUGCUAGAAGUGAAUGGGUAUGAAUUAUGCGGUAAAAGUGCUUAAAUACCCUUAACGGGUCAAAAUAAGCUUCUAAGUCAAAACGGGUUAAAGAAGGUAUACAAACCCGUUAUUUUGAGCCUAAUAUAAUAGGAGAUAUUGAAAUUAUGAAGUUCAUGGGUUUAAAGAUCAAAUAGGCAUGUUUGUUUGAUAAAAUCACGAACGGGUCAAAAUUUGGUAAAAAGGGUAAUAAGCCAAAGAUUUAAAAGUCUUAAAUUUUUGUUAAUCCGGAUGUCGGAUUUUAACUCCAUAUGAUGGAGAAUUAAAUUACGGAUGCGUAGGAAAAAGAAUCGUGUAAAACGGAUUAAAAACGAGAGAGUUAUGUCCGUUUCGGUAAGAACUAAUGAAAAAUAGACGUGCAGAGUUGACACGGGCGGGUGACUUUUUGACACGGCCGGGUGGCUGGGCUGUGAAAAAUAUACGUUAACUGACACGGCCGGGUGACUUUUUGACACGGCCGGGUGAAGGGGCUGAAAACAAAACAAAAAUAAUUUCUUGUUUUGUUACGUUAAGCACGGAACUUGUUUAUACUCGAUUAUUAAAGUGUCAAAACUAAUUAUUUACAUGGUUUUGACCGUAGGUGAAGAUGGACCUAAUCCGGAUGAAGAUCAAGCGGCGAGCAAGAACCGAACACACGUUAAAUGAAGCUUCCGCGUAAAAUCUUGAUUUGUGUUGAUAUAAGUGAAUUAUGUAAACACUUAUAAAUUGUUUUUGAAAUGUUGUAAUCAUUUGGGAAUGUUGGUAUAACAAGUUUUGUAAAGACACAUUUUAGCAUAAAAAUUUGUAUCUUUUAUUAAAAUAUUAAUAAAACCAGACGGGCGUUACACAA
Molecule: long non-coding RNA, 1768 nt
Organism: Helianthus annuus (common sunflower)
Lineage: Eukaryota; Viridiplantae; Streptophyta; Magnoliopsida; Asterales; Asteraceae
Exons: 3
Source: RefSeq, a predicted model, not a curated record